Molecule: ribosomal RNA, 383 nt
Filed under: uncultured eukaryote
Lineage: Eukaryota
Description: partial 18S ribosomal RNA
Rfam family: Eukaryotic small subunit ribosomal RNA
Source: RNAcentral
CAAUAGCGUAUAUUAAAGUUGUUGCAGUUAAAAAGCUCGUAGUUGGAUUUCUGGUAGGAGCGACCGUGCCGAACUUGAUUGUUCGAGUAUUGUGUUGUCUUCAGCCAUCCUCGUGGAGAACUUUUCUAACAUUAACUUGUUGGGAUUGGGACCCGCGUCGUUUACUGUGAAAAAAUUAGAGUGUUUAAAGCAGGCAUUAGCUUGAAUACAUUAGCAUGGAAUAAUAAGAUAGGACUUUGGUACUAUUUUGUUGGUUUGCAUACCAAAUUAAUGAUCAACAGGAACAGUUUGAGGAUAUUCGUAUGAACAUGUCAGACGUGAAAUUCUUGGAUUUUGAUCAGACGAACUACUGCGAAAGCAUUUAUCAAGGAUGUUUUCAUUAA